CAAUAGCGUAUAUUAAAGUUGUUGCAGUUAAAAAGCUCGUAGUUGGAUUUCUGGUCGGAAGCUCCUGUCCUCUGAUGAGCGUACAAGUGCGUCCUACCAUCCUUCUGUUAACCUUUAAGGCUUUCGCGGCUUUCUAGGGGCUCAGAUAUUUUACCUUGAGAAAAUUAGAGUGUUUCAGGCAGGCUAGCGCCGGAAUACAUUAGCAUGGAAUAAUGGAAUAGGACUUUUGCCUCUUCUGUUGGUCAUGAGGCUCGAGUAAUGAUUAAUAGGGAUAGUUGGGGGCAUUAGUACUUAACUGUCAGAGGUGGAAUUCUCGGAUUUGUUAAAGACUAACUUAUGCGAAAGCAUUUGCCAAGGAUGUUUUCAUUAA
This 370-nucleotide ribosomal RNA is filed under the name uncultured eukaryote. RNAcentral's name for it is "partial 18S ribosomal RNA". It matches the Rfam family "Eukaryotic small subunit ribosomal RNA", at positions 592 to 976 of the family's 1831-position model. The record is from RNAcentral.